AUACGGAGGGUGCAAGCGUUAUCCGGAAUCAUUGGGUUUAAAGGGUCCGUAGGCGGGCAAUUAAGUCAGAGGUGAAAUCCCACAGCUCAACUGUGGAACUGCCUUUGAUACUGGUUGUCUUGAGUUAUAGUGAAGUAGAUAGAAUGUGUAGUGUAGCGGUGAAAUGCGUAGAUAUUACACAGAAUACCGAUUGCGAAGGCAGUCUACUAACUGUUGACUGACGCUAAUGGACGAAAGCGUGGGGAGCGAACAGGAUUAGAAACCCUAGUAGUCC
This 274-nucleotide ribosomal RNA is filed under the name uncultured bacterium. RNAcentral describes it as "partial 16S ribosomal RNA". It matches the Rfam family "Bacterial small subunit ribosomal RNA", at positions 523 to 796 of the family's 1533-position model. The record is from RNAcentral.